This 452-nucleotide ribosomal RNA is filed under the name uncultured bacterium. RNAcentral's name for it is "bacterial SSU rRNA". It matches the Rfam family "Bacterial small subunit ribosomal RNA", at positions 29 to 506 of the family's 1533-position model. The record is from RNAcentral.
AUGAACGCUGGCGGCGUGUCUUAGGCAUGCAAGUCGAUCGGUGCAGCAAUGUAACCGAGGCAAACGGGUGAGUAACACAUUGGUAACCUACCUUGAACACGGGCAUAACCCGGCGAAAGCUGGAUUAAAUCCCGAUAGUCAUGAGGGGACAUAAGUCAUUCUCAUGUAAAUACUUUCGUGGUUCAAGAGGGGCCUAUGGUCCAUCAGCUAGUUGGUAAGGUAAUGGCUUACCAAGGCUAUGACGGAUAGCAGGCGUGAGAGCGCGACCUGCCUCACUGGGACUGAGAACUGCCCAGACUCCUACGGGAGGCUGCAGUCGAGAAUAUUCCCCAAUGCGCGAAAGCGUGAGGGAGCGACGCCGCGUGACCGAAGAAGCCUUUCGGGGUGUAAAGGUCUUUUCCAGAGGAAAAACAAGUGAUAUUACUCUGGGAAUAAGGGGCUGCUAACUUCGU